AUGAAAAAUAGAACACUUAACUUUAGAAACAUGCACACGCACAUACUUGUGUGCAAUAUUGGCCAGCACACAAAGAUUCCAGUUUCAGACUCUGCUCUGAUCAUCCCUAGACACACAGAGAUCUCAUGUGAAGGGACACUUUUUUCCUUUUUCCCUCUUCCUUCUUCUCCUCAUCUUCCUGCUCUUUUUCCUCCUCCUUGUUUUUUCAGUACUAGUGCUCAAACCCACGACCUCAUGCAUGCCAGCCAGGAUUCUGCAACGGAGCUACGUCCUCAGCCCAAUUUCCCCACCUUGACCACUUUUCUCCAGCCUGUUUCAGAUAGUUCUGGAACCCUUCCCCACUCUUCCCAAGUCAAGUAUCUUUGCUGGGGCUCCCUGUGACCUGCAGAACUACUGCCUGAGAUAGAAUCUCUGCUUUGCUUAUUUCCAGCUGAGACCCUGGAGCAAGUUAAGUUAAUUACCUGAUCUAGGCCUCCGCCUGGCACUGGUGAACCGGGAAUAAUAAGAUUGAUGCAAAAAUAAAUGAGUUAGCAGAGGGUGUGCAUAGGGUAAGCUAUGACUGUCCUGCCGCCCCAGCCCCACCCUCGCACAGCCACCAGGACUGAGUGAUCCCUAACCUUAACCACAACCUUAACCCCUAAUACCUAACACUAACACUAAACAUAACCCUAAUCCCUAACCCCUAACCCUAACCUUAACCUCACCCUCAAAGUGACUCUGGGAAAUCCUUGUGUGAACCACCUCUCCAUUCCAUGUGUCAGGCAGUCCUGCUUCCCGUCCCUCUGGUUGAUGGAUUAGUUCCCAUCCAACCACAUUAUUUGCUCAUUUCUUCAGAACCUCUUGGGGACUGUGCUGGGGUGGGGCCAAGGGGCCAGGACAGUAGCAGUUUACCCUGUGCACACCCUCUCCCAAGUUGAGUCUCCAGACACAACCUUCUUCUACAUAAGACCCAUCUAUCUUCUACAUAAGGCCCAGGAGUAUAAAGUUAGUUGUUGUUGUUUUCUUCCUUCUUUUGUUCUCUGUGUAUUUAAACCAGAUGCAGCAUUUUUUGACUUGUCCCACCCUUCUAAUUAAUUUUCUUAAUGUUUAUGGGUGCGUAUCCCACCCAGUUCUCUAAGUUGUUUCUUCCUGUGCCCCAUCUGAAUGCCAGGCUCGAGUUGAAUUGGUCUUGCUGUUCCUCUGCCGAAGGGCUGGCCACAAAGCCUGGUGGAGUGGGGGGCCACAGCCUGCUGGGACUUCAGAUGUCUGGAUAUCAGCCCCGUCCUCUGACCUUCCCCUAGGAUACAAUUUUAGCUAAGACUUAAAACAAAGCACCUCUAGGGGGAAACAGGCUAGCUGCAAUUCAGAGGAGAAUAAAUAUUGGUACUAAGUUUUUUAAUUCUGAGAGGAAUUAAAAGAAAGAAAGAUGAGAACGUCAGGCUGCUGGAUGGUUGGAGGGAGGAAAAAGAGGGGGAGCUCUACUGGAGGAAGAAAAGGGAC
Molecule: long non-coding RNA, 1479 nt
Filed under: Fukomys damarensis (Damara mole-rat)
Lineage: Eukaryota; Metazoa; Chordata; Mammalia; Rodentia; Bathyergidae
Description: lncRNA (ENSFDAG00000026504.1)
Source: RNAcentral